ACUUAGGUGAGGGGCGGGUUAUUGUAUGUCUAGUAACCGUUCCCUGAAUGCCAUUUCUAGGGUGAUGAAGUUGCUUCCAGCACAGCCUUCUCACACGGGUGUUGUGACCAUAUACUUAUUACAUUGAUGCCUUCUUCACUCCCCUCUCCUGAAGAAGCGGAAUAAUCUCCGAAAGGCGUCAAAUUGGGAGUCCUUCAACUUUCUCCCCUUGGACAAUUUUUACAGAACUAUGAAAUGUAACCUAGCUAUACAUUGUAUUGUUUAACCUGUAAUAGGUGUUGAUGGCAACAUGAGAAGUCCAUCCAGGGGACAUAUAUUUUAUACAUUGAAACACACAAGAGCUUGUAAUGUAAUGUUUUUAUUAUUGUUGGAAUAAAGAUGAUUAUUUUAA
Long non-coding RNA from Rana temporaria (common frog), 391 nucleotides. RefSeq lists it as uncharacterized. NCBI's taxonomy places the organism in Eukaryota, Metazoa, Chordata, Amphibia, Anura, Ranidae. The transcript is spliced from 2 exons. The record is from RefSeq and is a predicted model, not a curated record.